CCUACGGGUGGCAGCAGUGAGGAAUAUUGGUCAAUGGACGAGAGCCUGAACCAGCCAAGUAGCGUGAAGGAUGACUGCCCUAUGGGUUGUAAACUUCUUUUAUAUGGGAAUAAAACGUUCCACGUGUGGGAUUUUGUAUGUACCCUAUGAAUAAGGAUCGGCUAACUCCGUGCCAGCAGCCGCGGUAAUACGGAGGAUCCGAGCGUUAUCCGGAUUUAUUGGGUUUAAAGGGUGCGUAGGUGGAUUGUUAAGUCAGUUGUGAAAGUUUGCGGCUCAACCGUAAAAUUGCAGUUGAAACUGGUAGUCUUGAGUGCAGGAGAGGUGGGCGGAAUUCGUGGUGUAGCGGUGAAAUGCUUAGAUAUCACGAAGAACUCCGAUUGCGAAGGCAGUUCACUGGACUGCAACUGACGCUGAGGCUCGAAAGUGUGGGUAUCAAACAGGAUUAGAUACCCCAGUAGUC
This 460-nucleotide ribosomal RNA is filed under the name uncultured bacterium. RNAcentral's name for it is "partial 16S ribosomal RNA". It matches the Rfam family "Bacterial small subunit ribosomal RNA", at positions 338 to 795 of the family's 1533-position model. The record is from RNAcentral.